This 615-nucleotide ribosomal RNA is filed under the name uncultured Legionella sp. Its description in RNAcentral is "bacterial SSU rRNA". It matches the Rfam family "Bacterial small subunit ribosomal RNA", at positions 242 to 849 of the family's 1533-position model. Lineage: Bacteria; Pseudomonadati; Pseudomonadota; Gammaproteobacteria; Legionellales; Legionellaceae. The record is from RNAcentral.
UAGCUAGUUGGUGGGGUAAGGGCCUACCAAGACGACGAUCGGUAGCUGGUCUGAGAGGAUGAUCAGCCACACUGGAACUGAGGGACGGUCCAGACUCCUACGGGAGGCAGCAGUGGGGAAUAUUGGACAAUGGGGGGAACCCUGAUCCAGCAAUGCCGCGUGAGUGAAGAAGGCCUGAGGGUUGUAAAGCACUUUUGUUAGGGAGGAGUGUUGAUUGGUUAAGAGCUGAUUGACAGGACGUUACCUAAAGAAUAAGCACCGGCUAACUCCGUGCCAGCAGCCGCGGUAAUACGGAGGGUGCGAGCGUUAAUCGGAAUUACUGGGCGUAAGGGUGCGUAGGUUGUUGAUUAAGUUAUGUGUAAAAUUCCUGGGCUCAACCUAGGGUUGCAGAUAAUACUGGUUGACUAUGAGUAUAGGAGAGGGUAGUGGAAUUUCCGGUGUAGCGGUGAAAUGCGUAGAGAUCGGAAGGAACAUCGGUGGCGAAGGCGGCUACCUGGCCUAAUACUGACACUGAGGCACGAAAGCGUGGGGAGCAAACAGGAUUAGAUACCCUGGUAGUCCACGCUGUAAACGAUGUCAACUAGCUGUUGGUUAUAUGAAAAUAAUUAGUGGCGC